GCCAGGUGUGGUGGCACAUACCUGUAAUCCCAGCUACUGGGGAGGCUGAGAUGGGAGAAUCGCUUGAACCCAGGAGGCAGAGGUUGCAGUGAGCUGAGAUCACGGCACUGUACUCCAGCCUGGGUGACAGGGUGAGAUCCCAUCUCAA
Molecule: non-coding RNA, 148 nt
Filed under: Pan troglodytes (chimpanzee)
Lineage: Eukaryota; Metazoa; Chordata; Mammalia; Primates; Hominidae
Source: Rfam by way of RNAcentral